Molecule: ribosomal RNA, 625 nt
Filed under: uncultured fungus
Lineage: Eukaryota; Fungi
Description: eukaryotic LSU rRNA
Rfam family: 5.8S ribosomal RNA (bases 243-396)
Source: RNAcentral
AGUAAAAGUCGUAACAAGGUCUCCGUUGGUGAACCAGCGGAGGGAUCAUUACAGAGUUGCAAAACUCCCACAAACCGUCGCGAAUCUUACCCGUACGGUUGCCUCGGCGCUGGCGGUCCGGAAAGGCCCUCGGGCCCUCCCGGAUCCUCGGGUCUCCCGCUCGCGGGAGGCUGCCCGCCGGAGUGCCGAAACUAAACUCUUGAUAUUUUAUGUCUCUCUGAGUAAACUUUUAAAUAAGUCAAAACUUUCAACAACGGAUCUCUUGGUUCUGGCAUCGAUGAAGAACGCAGCGAAAUGCGAUAAGUAAUGUGAAUUGCAGAAUUCAGUGAAUCAUCGAAUCUUUGAACGCACAUUGCGCCUCCUGGUAUUCCGGGAGGCACGCCUGUUCGAGCGCCAUUACACACCCCAAGCACGGCUUGAUGUUGGGCGAUCGCUGCGAAGCGACGCCUCGAACGCAUGGGCGCCUGCCGCCGACCAUGAGCGUAGCGAGAUUUCAUUAUCAUCGUUUGUGGUUCGGUCGGUGGGCUGCCUUGUCCUCUGCGAUCUCACGAUCAAAGAAUUCAACGUUUGGCCUCGGAUCAGGCGGGGAUACCCGCUGAACUUAAGCAUAUCAAUAAGCGGAGGA